This 279-nucleotide long non-coding RNA is filed under the name Nicotiana benthamiana. RNAcentral's name for it is "long non-coding RNA (NBEN_LNC035692)". Lineage: Eukaryota; Viridiplantae; Streptophyta; Magnoliopsida; Solanales; Solanaceae. The record is from RNAcentral.
AAGAAAGUCCUUGAUUAGCAUAAACUUCAGUCAUCUCAACAACUAAUUUUCUUAUUUAUUUUUUAACAAAGAGCUGGGAAAAAUUCAGAAUCUUCAUGUACAUCAUUCACUUUGGGAAGGGAGGGAUUAGCAUGACACUUUCAAUCAAGGCACCAAAACUGCAUAUAUCACACUAAACAUAUUCAAAAGAGAUGCAUUCUUUCAUCUAGGUAGCUUUUGUUGAAACAAUCCCAAAAUUGUUGUUGUUGUGCUAAGACCAGAGUUUGAACAGUACAAAUC